RNAcentral lists this long non-coding RNA (1685 nucleotides) under Coturnix japonica (Japanese quail). RNAcentral describes it as "lncRNA (ENSCJPG00005019494.1)". The record is from RNAcentral. Lineage: Eukaryota; Metazoa; Chordata; Aves; Galliformes; Phasianidae.
GGUCAGGAGCAUCUCAGCUUUCCAGUGCUCUGCAUGGACUGCGGGACCGGCCAGGAGCAGCUGGAGCUGUGAAGGGCAGCUCCGUGACUCACUCGCACUGUUAAGCCAGACAAGUUUGUAACAUCAAUGCUGUUGUGACCAAUAUUAUAGUCCAAAGAGGGCCUGAAAGCUCUCAGGUAUGAGUAGCACAAACCCAUUCUCAGAAGAGGGAGAGCCAGAGCAACUUGCUUUACCAUUGUGCUUUCUGGAACGAUAGCAGAUUUGGUUAUGAUUUGUUUACAGGAUCAGUAAAACCAUUUCUAACAGUGAUUCCAAGGUAUUUUUGGUCAUAGCGGCUAUUAACAUUGGACUGAUCUCUGGCUUUUCUGGUGGAAAGCUGUGCCUGGGAAGCCCCACACAGGGAAGCUCUGUGAACAGCUGGCUCAGGAAAGUGCACAGGACCAAGCAUAUGCAGAGCUUUUCUAAACUAUGAUUCUGUUUAAAGCCUUUGUGGUUUUGAGAUAAGAUAUCAAGGAAACAGAAUAAAAGCAACUACUCACCAAAAGACUGAGUUGUAUCUGAAUAUCACUUGUGUGCGCAGCUGCCCUCCCCAAAGGACCCACGAGUGCCUGGGGCUGCCUCUGCCAUCCACUUUGCAAGGUGCUCAUGGGCAAUGGAGUUCAUACAGCUUCUGCAAUAUCUCCUGGCCUGAACCUGAUGGCAUGAGGAUCUGAUUCUCCAGUACUCUGAGACACACCAGACGCACUGGGAUGUGUCUACUAUUGAUUUUUUGUGGCAGCAUCAGCUGGGAGCGUCAGCCUAUGGAGACUUUUACUUGAUUCAGUAAAUCAACACAUUUCCCAAAAUGAAGGUGGUUAAUUUUCAGAUUAAGUUUCCUGAUCUAACUGGCUGUGUGGUUUCAUGGCUGCUCACUCUCAGAGAUACAGUAAGAUCACACACCUGAACAAUCACAAGGCUGCCCUUUUCAGACACAGUAUGUAUGCACACUGGCUAACAUUUUCGGGAAGCCUAAGUUUCAACAGUGCUUCUCCAAAGAAUGGAAACAAUAAUUUGCAGAAAUCCUUUAGUCUGACUUUUUCUCGUGAUGUGGUUUGAGCUAGUGGAAAAUCCAAGUCCAGAUUAUGCUCUGGCAACCGUCUCUGUAUCUGCGCCUGAGUGAUGGCCUUCCGGGGAGGAGCAAGCUUGGCACCUCAUCCCUGUACUCAGCAUAAACUCAUUAACUGCUAUGGCUCAGGUGAGGUCUUCUGCAAUCCUGAAGUGAAAUGGUAGAUAAUGAGGAUAUAUAAGUUUGUGAAAGCCGGAGGAGCUAAAUAACUUUUCUGGGAUAGUGACAGACUUCACUUAACACCCUGGAGACAUAGGAAAGUAAGUUAGUUAAACAGAGUCUCAAGAAUGUCUCACAUAGUUUUCUCUGCUGUUCAGGAGCCCAAUUCCCGAUAACAGGACAAUACAUACUAAGUACUUGAGUCAGCUGGCUGCCAAAGUACAAAUCUGGUAUUUGUUCCCAUUGCACAAAGUAGCACUGAUGUCAUAAAAGAUAUGAAAAGCUUUACAUUGUCCUUCUUAUUUUUAAACCACUUUAUACUUUUGUAUUUUGAUUAUUUUUAGUAUAUAUCCUAACAGUAAUGGGUGACAUGCAUCAUUAAGUGUGGAUGAAAAAUAGCGGAUGCAAAUGUGAAUGAAAA